Long non-coding RNA from Penaeus indicus, 414 nucleotides. RefSeq lists it as uncharacterized. The transcript has 2 exons. NCBI's taxonomy places the organism in Eukaryota, Metazoa, Arthropoda, Malacostraca, Decapoda, Penaeidae. The record is from RefSeq and is a predicted model, not a curated record.
AACAGAUCUAAAAACCAGGCAAAAGCAUCUGGCGAAGACCUGGAUCCAUCAUGCUGACCUUAAAUCAGUACAAGAUGCACAAGUGGUAAUGCUAGGUUAAGAAUGUUACCAUCAACAGUGAAGGAACACUGUUUCAAAAUAAAAACAGAAUGAGGUAAAAGAAAAGAAAGACAAAAGAAAAAAAAAUGCAGAAUCCAAGAAGGUAAUAGCAAGUAAGGAACUUUCUUUCUUUGUAUAAGUGAAAUUUGUAUUUGUUUUUGUUUCUAAUAUUUUGUUGCUAACAUUAUAAGGUUUAGAGAUGAUUGCAUUAUGAUUUUAUGGUAUAAAAAAAGUUAUUGUUUUCAGUUCAGAUACUUUACCAGAUAUUGUUAAGUUUGUGUCCACACAAAAGAAAAUAAUCAGGUAAAUUGAAAA